Molecule: ribosomal RNA, 121 nt
Filed under: Vibrio sp. B1Z05
Lineage: Bacteria; Pseudomonadati; Pseudomonadota; Gammaproteobacteria; Vibrionales; Vibrionaceae
Description: partial 16S ribosomal RNA
Rfam family: Bacterial small subunit ribosomal RNA
Source: RNAcentral
UUUAAUUGAAGAGUUUGAUCAUGGCUCAGAUUGAACGCUGGCGGCAGGCCUAACACAUGCAAGUCGAGCGGAAACGAGUUGUCUGAACCUUCGGGGAACGAUAACGGCGUCGAGCGGCGGA